Molecule: long non-coding RNA, 396 nt
Filed under: Dermacentor andersoni
Lineage: Eukaryota; Metazoa; Arthropoda; Arachnida; Ixodida; Ixodidae
Description: uncharacterized LOC126537524
Source: RNAcentral
GGAGACCGGGACCAGCGCUUCCCACAUGUUUGAUGAUUUCGUACUCUCGUGUGACCGGGUUGCCUGGAAGAACGGUGCUCAGGUUCGAAACUGUGGUCCUUAGUCGGUUGAACACCUCCAUCCUUGGCUGUGAUCACAGGGAAAACGAGCCUUGUAGAGCGCUAUCUACGCCGGGUCGGUCGCAUCGUUUUGAGAUUGAAGAAUAUAGAUCGCAGCAGCUGUUUUUUUUAGUAGCCGGAAUGCACAGUCAGGGCGUCUACCAAAAUGCUCUGCAGACAGCUCAGCUGACGACGACCCUGCCACGAGCCAAAGUACGCAGCAUCGCAGUCUCCCGACGUGGGCUCAUGAGGGUGCUUGCCCAGCUCAGGCCCAGCGAGCAUGAGCUAGAGAAUCAAC